RNAcentral lists this ribosomal RNA (711 nucleotides) under Triticum aestivum (bread wheat). RNAcentral's name for it is "partial small subunit ribosomal RNA". The record is from RNAcentral. Lineage: Eukaryota; Viridiplantae; Streptophyta; Magnoliopsida; Poales; Poaceae.
AUGGAUGCCAAGAAGUUCCUGCAGAUGGUCGAAGACAAGAAGAAGAGACUCCUUGAGAAGAAGGAAGCCCCACUGAAAUGGCAGCAGAAACUGGAAGCGGCAAUUAAGGCCACUGAAGAGAAGGAGAAGAAGCUCAAGUCAAAAAAGCACAGGAAGGACCGCAAAAGGCACAGGAAACAUGGCCACUCUGACUCUGAUGGUGCCAGGAGGCGCAAGCACAGGUCAAAGAGGAGGAGCUUGGACUCUAGUGAUGAGAGCGACAGUGAUGAAUAUGAUAGCGAAUCUGAAGAAGAGCGCCCAAGGAAGAAGCACUCGCACAGGAGGAAGCAUCACCGACACUCUCCAAGGUCAGAGUCUGAUGCUUCAGAUUACAGCAGCGAUGAUGAUGAGCGGAGAUCAACCAGGAAGGACCACACAAGGAGCCGCAGGCGUCGCCACCGAUCAUUAGACGAUGAAUCUGAGGACAAGAUCAGGUCGAGGCAUAGGAAGCGUCACAGAUCAAGUGACGAGGACAAGCCAUCAGAUUCUGACAUCCAUAAGCGUCACAGGAGCCGCUCUAUGUCCUUGGAUGAUGGUGCUGCUGGUGAGCCAGACAAGAUGAAUGAUGGUAAGGGGUCUCACAAAAGCCGGCACCACCGCCGCCAUCACCAUCACCAUCAUGAUCACCAUGGCAACUCUGCUGAACCCAGUGACGGGAAGCAACUCGUGUAA